AACGUAGGUACCGAGCGUUAUCCGGAUUUACUGGGCGUAAAGCGUGUUCAGGCGGCCUGGCAAGUCGGGCAUGAAAUCUCUCGGCUCAACCGGGAGAGGCUGUCCGAUACUGCUGGGCUUGAGGACGGUAGAGGGUGGUGGAGUUCCGCGUGUAGUGGUGAAAUGCGUAGAUAUGCGGAGGAACACCAGUGGCGAAGGCGGCCACCUGGACCGUCCCUGACGCUCAAACACGAAAGCUAGGGUAGCGAACGGG
Molecule: ribosomal RNA, 253 nt
Filed under: uncultured bacterium
Lineage: Bacteria
Description: partial 16S ribosomal RNA
Rfam family: Bacterial small subunit ribosomal RNA
Source: RNAcentral